This is a small nuclear RNA of Ochotona princeps (American pika), 107 nucleotides long. NCBI's taxonomy places the organism in Eukaryota, Metazoa, Chordata, Mammalia, Lagomorpha, Ochotonidae. The record is from Ensembl.
GUGCUCACUUGGGCAGCAUAUUUACUAAAAUUGGCGUGAUACUCAGAAGAUUAGAAUGGCCCCUGCUCAAGGAUGACACGCAAAUUCAUGAAGUGUUCCAUAUUUUU